RNAcentral lists this ribosomal RNA (236 nucleotides) under uncultured bacterium. Its description in RNAcentral is "partial 16S ribosomal RNA". It matches the Rfam family "Bacterial small subunit ribosomal RNA", at positions 335 to 589 of the family's 1533-position model. The record is from RNAcentral.
ACUCCUACGGGAGGCAGCAGUGGGGAAUAUUGGACAAUGGGCGCAAGCCUGAUCCAGCCAUGCCGCGUGAGUGAUGAAGGCCUUAGGGUUGUAAAGCUCUUUUGUCCGGGAAGAUAAUGACUGUACCGGAAGAAUAAGCCCCGCUACUUACGUGCCAGCAGCCGCGGUAAUACGAAGGGGCGUAGCGUUGCUCGGAAUCACUGGGCGUAAAGGGCGCGUAGGCGGACUUUUAAGUC